UCGCGAGUGGAAUAGGUUGUGUGUAUUUUUUUUUUUCAAGCAGAAGACGGCAUACGAGAUCAUGCCUAGUCUCGUGGGC
This 79-nucleotide transfer RNA is filed under the name Clostridioides difficile. RNAcentral describes it as "tRNA-Leu". The record is from RNAcentral. Lineage: Bacteria; Bacillati; Bacillota; Clostridia; Peptostreptococcales; Peptostreptococcaceae.